RNAcentral lists this transfer RNA (69 nucleotides) under Firmiana danxiaensis. RNAcentral's name for it is "tRNA-Val". It matches the Rfam family "tRNA". From Rfam's summary of the family: Transfer RNA (tRNA) molecules are approximately 80 nucleotides in length. Lineage: Eukaryota; Viridiplantae; Streptophyta; Magnoliopsida; Malvales; Malvaceae. The record is from RNAcentral.
AGGGCUAUAGCUCAGUUAGGUAGAGCACCUCGUUUACACGGGUCUACGGUUCGAGUCCGUAUAGCCCUA